GGUGAACGCUGGCGGCGUGGAUUAGGCAUGCAAGUCGAAUGGGUUUAGACCCAUGGCAGACGAGGUAGUAACACGUAGGUUACGUACCCUAAAGUCGAGGAUAACCUGGAGAAAUCCAGAAUAAUACUCGAUAGUCCCUUCGGGGUAAAGAUUUAUCGCUUUAGGAACGGCCUGCGGGAUAUCAGCUUGUUGGUAGUGUAAAGGACUACCAAGGCUAAGACGUCUAGGGGAGGUGAGAGCCUGACCCCCACCGAUGGAACUGAGACACGGUCCAUACUCCUACGGGAGGCCGCAGUCGAGAAUCUUCCGCAAUGGACGAAAGUCUGACGGAGCGACGCCGCGUGAUUGAUGACGCACUUCGGUGUGUAAAGAUCUUUUAUAUGGGAAGAAGUUUAUUGACGGUACCAUAUGAAUAAGGGGCUCCUAAACUCG
Molecule: ribosomal RNA, 432 nt
Filed under: uncultured bacterium
Lineage: Bacteria
Description: bacterial SSU rRNA
Rfam family: Bacterial small subunit ribosomal RNA
Source: RNAcentral